RNAcentral lists this ribosomal RNA (427 nucleotides) under uncultured bacterium. RNAcentral's name for it is "partial 16S ribosomal RNA". It matches the Rfam family "Bacterial small subunit ribosomal RNA", at positions 355 to 774 of the family's 1533-position model. The record is from RNAcentral.
UGGGGAAUAUUGCACAAUGGGCGCAAGCCUGAUGCAGCCAUGCCGCGUGUAUGAAGAAGGCCUUCGGGUUGUAAAGUACUUUCAGCGGGGAGGAAGGUGUUGAGGUUAAUAACCUCAGCAAUUGACGUUACUCGCAGAAGAAGCACCGGCUAACUCCGUGCCAGCAGCCGCGGUAAUACGGAGGGUGCAAGCGUUAAUCGGAAUUACUGGGCGUAAAGCGCACGCAGGCGGUCUGUCAAGUCGGAUGUGAAAUCCCCGGGCUCAACCUGGGAACUGCAUUCGAAACUGGCAGGCUAGAGUCUUGUAGAGGGGGGUAGAAUUCCAGGUGUAGCGGUGAAAUGCGUAGAGAUCUGGAGGAAUACCGGUGGCGAAGGCGGCCCCCUGGACAAAGACUGACGCUCAGGUGCGAAAGCGUGGGGAGCAAACA